Molecule: small RNA, 500 nt
Filed under: Pan troglodytes (chimpanzee)
Lineage: Eukaryota; Metazoa; Chordata; Mammalia; Primates; Hominidae
Description: sense intronic
Source: RNAcentral
GUUUAACUGUUUAACCUGGUUGCCCUCCGGUUGGUGAGGGUCUGGACUGCAGACUAGCUGCGAGGGAGGGGCUCUCCCUUCUCCUGUCAGUUAGACUGACAACUCUACCUGGCAGCCAGGCCCUCCGGUCGGGACUGGUGGUGGUGCAGAUAUGAUGACAGGCUUUGGUAACUAUUGCCAAAGCCUGUCUCUGUCCCAAUAGAUCACCAGUUCAGCAAAGUCAGGCCUGAAGCGAAGGGAGUCUUGUGAGCCCUGGACUGAGGAGCCUUCCCAGCCUUUCCGCUCCUGCUGGCCACCUGGGCCCACAUGGCCUCAGGGUCUUCUGCCACAGGGUCCUUACCUCUACAGCUUAACAGCUGUUCUUUCCUUCUGGAUGGAUUCUCACAUUUUAUGGUUGGUUGAUCAGUCAGAUGUUGGAAUUGGGGGUAGAGGGAUUAUAGAGUUGUGUGUGCUAUUUAAGUUUUCUGUAAUCAUUGCUAAUUAAAUUUGUUGAUUCUCCA